GACGAACGCUGGCGGCGUGCUUAACACAUGCAAGUCGAACGGAAAGGCCCUGCUUUUGUGGGGUGCUCGAGUGGCGAACGGGUGAGUAACACGUGAGUAACCUGCCCUUGACUUUGGGAUAACUUCAGGAAACUGGGGCUAAUACCGGAUAGGAGCUCCUGCUGCAUGGGGGGGGUGGGAAAGUUUCGGCGGUUGGGGAUGGACUCGCGGCUUAUCAGCUGGUUGGUGGGGUAGUGGCUUACCAAGGCUUUGACGGGUAGCCGGCCUGAGAGGGUGACCGGCCACAUUGGGACUGAGAUACGGCCCAGACUCCUACGGGAGGCAGCAGUGGGGAAUAUUGCACAAUGGGCGGAAGCCUGAUGCAGCAACGCCGCGUGCGGGAUGACGGCCUUCGGGUUGUAAACCGCUUUCGCCUGUGACGAAGCGUGAGUGACGGUAAUGGGUAAAGAAGCACCGGCUAACUACGUG
RNAcentral lists this ribosomal RNA (468 nucleotides) under uncultured bacterium. Its description in RNAcentral is "partial 16S ribosomal RNA". It matches the Rfam family "Bacterial small subunit ribosomal RNA", at positions 28 to 507 of the family's 1533-position model. The record is from RNAcentral.